This 102-nucleotide ribosomal RNA is filed under the name Hucho hucho (huchen). The record is from RNAcentral. Lineage: Eukaryota; Metazoa; Chordata; Actinopteri; Salmoniformes; Salmonidae.
CUCAGCAGCAUACCACCCUGCAUCUCACUGAUGGCUUGCUUCUGAAGCUAAGCAGGGUUGGUGCUGCUCACUCCCUGGAUGGGAGACCAGAUGCUGCUGGAA